RNAcentral lists this small nuclear RNA (164 nucleotides) under Castor canadensis (American beaver). RNAcentral's name for it is "U1 spliceosomal RNA (ENSCCNG00000028576.1)". It matches the Rfam family "U1 spliceosomal RNA". Rfam says of the family: U1 is a small nuclear RNA (snRNA) component of the spliceosome (involved in pre-mRNA splicing). Its 5' end forms complementary base pairs with the 5' splice junction, thus defining the 5' donor site of an intron. Lineage: Eukaryota; Metazoa; Chordata; Mammalia; Rodentia; Castoridae. The record is from Rfam by way of RNAcentral.
AUACUUACCUGGCAGGGGAGAUACCAUGAUCACGAAGGCGGUUUUCCCAGGGUGAGGCUUAUCCAUUGCACUCUGGAUAUGCUGACCCCUGUGAUUUCCCCAAAUGUGGGAAACUCAACUGCAUAAUUUGUGGUAGUGGGGGACUGCAUUCGCACUCUCCCCUG